GGCGUGCUUAACACAUGCAAGUCGAACGAUGAAAGAGAAUCCGAUCUCUUCGGAGUGAAGAAUCUCUGGAUUAGUGGCGGACGGGUGAGUAACGCGUGAGCAAUCUGCCUUACACAAAGGGAUAGCCUCGGGGAACCGGGAUUAAUACCAUAUGAUAUCUAUUAACCGCAUGGCCUAUAGAUUAAAGAAUUUCGGUGUAAGAUGAGCUCGCGUCCCAUUAAUUAGUUGGUGAGGGUAACGGCCCACCAAGAUAGCGAUGGGUAGCCGAUCUAAGAGGAUGACCGGCCACAUUGGAACUGAGAAACGGUCCAAACUCCUACGGGAGGCAGCAGUGGGGAAUAUUGCACAAUGGGGGAAACCCUGAUGCAGCGACGCCGCGUGAGCGAUGAAGGCUUUCGAGUCGUAAAGCUCUGUCCUAUGGGAAGAUAAUGACGGUACCAUAGAAGAAAGCCCCGGCUAAUUACGUGCCAGCCGCCGCGGUAA
This 483-nucleotide ribosomal RNA is filed under the name uncultured Eubacteriales bacterium. RNAcentral's name for it is "bacterial SSU rRNA". It matches the Rfam family "Bacterial small subunit ribosomal RNA", at positions 41 to 523 of the family's 1533-position model. The record is from RNAcentral. Lineage: Bacteria; Bacillati; Bacillota; Clostridia; Eubacteriales.